UACGUAGGUGGCAAGCGUUGUCCGGAUUUACUGGGUGUAAAGGGCGUGCAGCCGGGAGUGCAAGUCAGAUGUGAAAUCCCGCGGCUCAACCGCGGAACUGCAUUUGAAACUGUGCUUCUUGAGUGCUGGAGAGGCAGACGGAAUUCCUAGUGUAGCGGUGAAAUGCGUAGAUAUUAGGAGGAACACUAGUGGCGAAGGCGGUCUGCUGGACAGUAACUGACGGUGAGGCGCGAAAGCGUGGGGAGCAAACAGG
This 253-nucleotide ribosomal RNA is filed under the name uncultured bacterium. RNAcentral describes it as "partial 16S ribosomal RNA". It matches the Rfam family "Bacterial small subunit ribosomal RNA", at positions 524 to 776 of the family's 1533-position model. The record is from RNAcentral.